AUUGAACGCUGGCGGCAUGCCUUACACAUGCAAGUCGAACGGUAACGGGCCUUCGGGUGCCGACGAGUGGCGAACGGGUGAGUAAUACAUCGGAACGUGCCCGAUCGUGGGGGAUAACGAGGCGAAAGCUUUGCUAAUACCGCAUACGAUCUACGGCUGAAAGCAGGGGACCGCAAGGCCUUGCGCGGACGGAGCGGCCGAUGGCAGAUUAGGUAGUUGGUGGGAUAAAAGCUUACCAAGCCGACGAUCUGUAGCUGGUCUGAGAGGAUGAUCAGCCACACUGGGACUGGGACACGGCCCAGACUCCUACGGGAGGCAGCGGUGGGGAAUUUUGGACAAUGGGCGCAAGCCUGAUCCAGCCAUGCCGCGUGCAGGAUGAAGGCCUUCGGGUUGUAAACUGCUUUUGUACGGAACGAAAAGCCUUCUUUUAAUACAGGAGGGUCAUGACGGUACCGUAAGAAUAAGCACCGGCUAACUACGUG
Molecule: ribosomal RNA, 482 nt
Filed under: uncultured bacterium
Lineage: Bacteria
Description: partial 16S ribosomal RNA
Rfam family: Bacterial small subunit ribosomal RNA
Source: RNAcentral